UACGGAGGGUGCGAGCGUUAAUCGGAAUUACUGGGCGUAAAGCGUACGUAGGCGGUUUGUUAAGCUAGAUGUGAAAGCCCCGGGCUUAACCUGGGAAUAGCAUUUAGAACUGGCAGGCUAGAGUUUUGAAGAGGGUGGUAGAAUUUCCUGUGUAGCGGUGAAAUGCGUAGAUAUAGGAAGGAAUAUCGGUGGCGAAGGCGGCCACCUGGUCAAAAACUGACGCUGAGGAGCGAAAGCGUGGGGAGCAAACAGG
Molecule: ribosomal RNA, 253 nt
Filed under: uncultured bacterium
Lineage: Bacteria
Description: partial 16S ribosomal RNA
Rfam family: Bacterial small subunit ribosomal RNA
Source: RNAcentral